CCUGGAGAUUUUCUCCUGGACCACAACCACAUAUACAUUUCAAAGGCUUCUAAUCUCAACUGAGCACUAGAAGAAGAGGCUAACAGCAAACUGGGGAGUACAAUGGCACUGAAAUUUAACCCGCUGCUCCAGAGCCCAAACCUGCAUGAGCCUCUCUAGCCGUUGGUCCAGAUGUGUAUUGCAGAGGGGUUGUUAACCAGAGAACUGUGUUAUCUCAGUAUGAAGAUGCCCACUGUAGCUCACUAGAGCAUGCAGUGACACUAGCAUCUACCCGUUGCUUCAGCUAGCUGGAGUGGAUGAAGUGUAACCACUGGGAUUGCCCUGACUGACCCGGUGUGAUGGAUUGCAUAACACUGAGAUGGGAGAAAUCGCUUCCAAAAGCUUGGUACCUUUGUACUAUGUUCUGCUGCAUCCCUACUGGUUGCAACAGCCACUUGCUUGCAGUAUUUGUCUUUUCGUAUGAAAUGGGUUCCCUUCUGUUUAGCCCAGGACUAGGCUUGCUCUUCAGCAGAGAGAACUUUGCUAAUCCUGCUUAAAUCCUCUCUAAAGCUAUUCUGCUGCAGAAAUCAGAAGAAAUGUUUUGCAGCUGUUAAAGGAUCAGUGAUAUAUGUGGCCAGGCAGCAUGCUCAGGCUACUGGAGAAGAGCAAGGUGCUGCCCGAGGCAGAAGGAGAAGUGUCCCAGUGACUGGGGAAGGAGCAGCUGCGGGCAGAAUGGCAUGGUGAUGGGCUUUGAUGAGUCUCUCAGACUACAAAGGAAUCUGGAAGGAUUUGAUAGCUGAGCCUUUUCUUGUCGCAAGAACAAAGGCUGGUGGAACCAGAGCCUCUCCUGCAGCUCGAGGGCAUGAGAUCCCAAACUCCCAGAGUGCUGCUUCACGGAGUGACAGGGGCAUGAAGCAUGGAAAUGAAGUAAAAAUGAGGCUGGUUUGGGAGAGAAAGUGUGACGGCUCCUCUCCAGAUGUGACAGAAAGGGGCCAGGAACACAUAGCUGCAUUUAUCUCAACCCUUUCAUUGGCUGGAACUAGUAGUAUUUCGACUAAAUGUGCUGCAUUUCCUUUUUUUUUUUUUUUUUAACCUGCCCUAUGAAUAAUGCUUUGACCAUUUUAAAAGCUGACAUACUAAUAAAAGACUAUUAAAUCCUGCCA
This 1142-nucleotide long non-coding RNA is filed under the name Anser brachyrhynchus (Pink-footed goose). RNAcentral's name for it is "lncRNA (ENSABRG00000014343.1)". Lineage: Eukaryota; Metazoa; Chordata; Aves; Anseriformes; Anatidae. The record is from RNAcentral.